CCGGCGACCGGCGCACGGGUGAGUAACACGUAUGCGACCUGCCCCCGCAGGGGGAUAACCGGGAGAAAUCCCGACUAAUACCGCGUAACGCCGCGGACCUGCAUGGGUCUGCGGCCAAAGGAAGCGAUUCCGGCGGGGGAUGGGCAUGCGGCGCAUUAGCUAGUCGGCGGGGUAACGGUCCACCGAGGCGACGAUGCGUAGGGGUUCUGAGAGGAAGGUCCCCCACACUGGUACUGAGACACGGACCAGACUCCUACGGGAGGCAGCAG
Molecule: ribosomal RNA, 269 nt
Filed under: uncultured bacterium
Lineage: Bacteria
Description: partial 16S ribosomal RNA
Rfam family: Bacterial small subunit ribosomal RNA
Source: RNAcentral